AUCACCCUGCUGUGCGCGUGGAUGCGCUGGUCGUUUACUUCCAACAUCUCUUACUAGGGGCCCGGACUCUACCUCGGGCAUGUGUGCCGCAGUGCACGGCGGAACAUAAACGUGGUAGGAGGGCACCCACCUCGCGUGGGCGGGGGAGAGAAACGGCCAGCCCUACGGCAUGGUGGGGUUUUU
RNAcentral lists this non-coding RNA (183 nucleotides) under Bacillota bacterium. Its description in RNAcentral is "6S RNA". It matches the Rfam family "6S / SsrS RNA". Rfam says of the family: E. coli 6S RNA was the first non coding RNA to be sequenced, but its function was unknown until recently. It consists of 184 nucleotides that fold into an extended hairpin structure with a large single-stranded internal bulge. The record is from RNAcentral. Lineage: Bacteria; Bacillati; Bacillota.